Molecule: ribosomal RNA, 1483 nt
Filed under: Lacticaseibacillus rhamnosus
Lineage: Bacteria; Bacillati; Bacillota; Bacilli; Lactobacillales; Lactobacillaceae
Description: bacterial SSU rRNA
Rfam family: Bacterial small subunit ribosomal RNA
Source: RNAcentral
CGCCACGGGGCGGCGUGCUAUACAUGCAGUCGAACGAGUUCUGAUUAUUGAAAGGUGCUUGCAUCUUGAUUUAAUUUUGAACGAGUGGCGGACGGGUGAGUAACACGUGGGUAACCUGCCCUUAAGUGGGGGAUAACAUUUGGAAACAGAUGCUAAUACCGCAUAAAUCCAAGAACCGCAUGGUUCUUGGCUGAAAGAUGGCGUAAGCUAUCGCUUUUGGAUGGACCCGCGGCGUAUUAGCUAGUUGGUGAGGUAACGGCUCACCAAGGCAAUGAUACGUAGCCGAACUGAGAGGUUGAUCGGCCACAUUGGGACUGAGACACGGCCCAAACUCCUACGGGAGGCAGCAGUAGGGAAUCUUCCACAAUGGACGCAAGUCUGAUGGAGCAACGCCGCGUGAGUGAAGAAGGCUUUCGGGUCGUAAAACUCUGUUGUUGGAGAAGAAUGGUCGGCAGAGUAACUGUUGUCGGCGUGACGGUAUCCAACCAGAAAGCCACGGCUAACUACGUGCCAGCAGCCGCGGUAAUACGUAGGUGGCAAGCGUUAUCCGGAUUUAUUGGGCGUAAAGCGAGCGCAGGCGGUUUUUUAAGUCUGAUGUGAAAGCCCUCGGCUUAACCGAGGAAGUGCAUCGGAAACUGGGAAACUUGAGUGCAGAAGAGGACAGUGGAACUCCAUGUGUAGCGGUGAAAUGCGUAGAUAUAUGGAAGAACACCAGUGGCGAAGGCGGCUGUCUGGUCUGUAACUGACGCUGAGGCUCGAAAGCAUGGGUAGCGAACAGGAUUAGAUACCCUGGUAGUCCAUGCCGUAAACGAUGAAUGCUAGGUGUUGGAGGGUUUCCGCCCUUCAGUGCCGCAGCUAACGCAUUAAGCAUUCCGCCUGGGGAGUACGACCGCAAGGUUGAAACUCAAAGGAAUUGACGGGGGCCCGCACAAGCGGUGGAGCAUGUGGUUUAAUUCGAAGCAACGCGAAGAACCUUACCAGGUCUUGACAUCUUUUGAUCACCUGAGAGAUCAGGUUUCCCCUUCGGGGGCAAAAUGACAGGUGGUGCAUGGUUGUCGUCAGCUCGUGUCGUGAGAUGUUGGGUUAAGUCCCGCAACGAGCGCAACCCUUAUGACUAGUUGCCAGCAUUUAGUUGGGCACUCUAGUAAGACUGCCGGUGACAAACCGGAGGAAGGUGGGGAUGACGUCAAAUCAUCAUGCCCCUUAUGACCUGGGCUACACACGUGCUACAAUGGAUGGUACAACGAGUUGCGAGACCGCGAGGUCAAGCUAAUCUCUUAAAGCCAUUCUCAGUUCGGACUGUAGGCUGCAACUCGCCUACACGAAGUCGGAAUCGCUAGUAAUCGCGGAUCAGCACGCCGCGGUGAAUACGUUCCCGGGCCCUUGUACACACCGCCCGUCACCCCAUGAGAGUUUGUAACACCCGAAGCCGGUGGCGUAACCCUUUUAGGGAGCGAGCCGUCUAAGGUGGACAAAAGAUGGG